UACGUAGGGCGCAAGCGUUGUCCGGAAUUAUUGGGCGUAAAGAGCUCGUAGGCGGUUUGUCGCGUCUGCUGUGAAAACCUCAGGCUCAACCUGGGGCUUGCAGUGGGUACGGGCAGACUAGAGUGCGGUAGGGGGUGACUGGAAUUCCCUGGUGUAGCGGUGGAAUGCGCAGAUAUCAGGAGGAACACCGAUGGCGAAGGCAGGUCACUGGGCCGCAACUGACGCUGAGGAGCGAAAGCAUGGGGAGCGAACAGG
RNAcentral lists this ribosomal RNA (255 nucleotides) under uncultured bacterium. RNAcentral describes it as "partial 16S ribosomal RNA". It matches the Rfam family "Bacterial small subunit ribosomal RNA", at positions 524 to 776 of the family's 1533-position model. The record is from RNAcentral.